UACGGAGGGUGCAAGCGUUAAUCGGAAUCACUGGGCUUAAAGGGUGCGCAGGCGGGCCUGUAAGUACUUUGUGAAAUCCCAGAGCUCAACUCUGGAAUCGCUCGGUAAACUACAGGUCUUGAGCCCAACAGAGGUCGUCAGAACGCUAGGUGGAGCGGUGAAAUGCGUAGAUAUCUAGCGGAAUGCCAAAGGUGAAGACAGACGGCUGGGUCGGUGCUGACGCUCAGGCACGAAAGCAUGGGUAGCGAACGGG
RNAcentral lists this unclassified non-coding RNA (253 nucleotides) under uncultured Phycisphaeraceae bacterium. RNAcentral describes it as "contains 16S-23S intergenic spacer region". It matches the Rfam family "Bacterial small subunit ribosomal RNA", at positions 524 to 776 of the family's 1533-position model. The record is from RNAcentral. Lineage: Bacteria; Pseudomonadati; Planctomycetota; Phycisphaerae; Phycisphaerales; Phycisphaeraceae.